RNAcentral lists this non-coding RNA (28 nucleotides) under Homo sapiens (human). The record is from RNAcentral. Lineage: Eukaryota; Metazoa; Chordata; Mammalia; Primates; Hominidae.
UGCCUGUGCAUUGCUGCCACUACACAGC